UGGGGAAUCUUAGACAAUGGGGGAAACCCUGAUCUAGCCAUGCCGCGUGAGCGAUGAAGGCCUUAGGGUUGUAAAGCUCUUUCACCGGGGAAGAUAAUGACGGUACCCGGAGAAGAAGCCCCGGCUAACUCCGUGCCAGCAGCCGCGGUAAUACGGAGGGGGCUAGCGUUGUUCGGAAUUACUGGGCGUAAAGCGCACGUAGGCGGAUUGGAAAGUCAGAGGUGAAAUCCCAGGGCUCAACCCUGGAACUGCCUUUGAAACUCCCAGGCUUGAGGUCGGGAGAGGUGAGUGGAAUUCCGAGUGUAGAGGUGAAAUUCGUAGAUAUUCGGAGGAACACCAGUGGCGAAGGCGGCUCACUGGCUCGAUACUGACGCUGAGGUGCGAAAGCGUGGGGAGCAAACAGG
RNAcentral lists this ribosomal RNA (404 nucleotides) under bacterium. RNAcentral describes it as "partial 16S ribosomal RNA". It matches the Rfam family "Bacterial small subunit ribosomal RNA", at positions 355 to 776 of the family's 1533-position model. The record is from RNAcentral.